GACGAACGCUGGCGGCGUGCUUAACACAUGCAAGUCGAACGGAAAGGCCCUGCUUUUGUGGGGUGCUCGAGUGGCGAACGGGUGAGUAACACGUGAGUAACCUGCCCUUGACUUUGGGAUAACUUCAGGAAACUGGGGCUAAUACCGGAUAGGAGCUCCUGCUGCAUGGUGGGGGUUGGAAAGUUUCGGCGGUUGGGGAUGGACUCGCGGCUUAUCAGCUUGUUGGUGGGGUAGUGGCUUACCAAGGCUUUGACGGGUAGCCGGCCUGAGAGGGUGACCGGCCACAUUGGGCCUGAGGUACGGCCCAGACUCCUACGGGAGGCAGCAGUGGGGAAUAUUGCACAAUGGCCGGAAGCCUGAUGCAGCAACGCCGCGUGCGGGAUGACGGCCUUCGGGUUGUAAACCGCUUUCGCAUGUGACGAAGCGUGAGUGACGGUAAUGGGUAAAGAAGCACCGGCUAACUACGUG
Molecule: ribosomal RNA, 468 nt
Filed under: uncultured bacterium
Lineage: Bacteria
Description: partial 16S ribosomal RNA
Rfam family: Bacterial small subunit ribosomal RNA
Source: RNAcentral